Molecule: ribosomal RNA, 372 nt
Filed under: uncultured bacterium
Lineage: Bacteria
Description: bacterial SSU rRNA
Rfam family: Bacterial small subunit ribosomal RNA
Source: RNAcentral
UACGGAGGGUGCAAGCGUUAUCCGGAUUUACUGGGUUUAAAGGGUGCGUAGGUGGGUAAGUAAGUCAGUGGUGAAAUCUUCGAGCUUAACUCGGAAACUGCCAUUGAUACUAUUUAUCUUGAAUACUUUGGAGGUAAGCGGAAUAUGUCAUGUAGCGGUGAAAUGCUUAGAUAUGACAUAGAACACCAAUUGCGAAGGCAGCUUACUACACAGUUAUUGACACUGAGGCACGAAAGCGUGGGGAUCAAACAGGAUUAGAUACCCUGGUAGUCCACGCCCUAAACGAUGGAUACUCGACAUUAGCGAUACACAGUUAGUGUCUGAGCGAAAGCAUUAAGUAUCCCACCUGGGAAGUACGAUCGCAAGAUUGAA